UACGUAGGGCGCAAGCGUUGUCCGGAAUUAUUGGGCGUAAAGAGCUCGUAGGCGGUCUGUCGCGUCCGUUGUGAAAACUCGAGGCUCAACCUCGGGCUUGCAGUGGAUACGGGCAGACUAGAGUGCGGUAGGGGAGACUGGAAUUCCUGGUGUAGCGGUGAAAUGCGCAGAUAUCAGGAGGAACACCGGUGGCGAAGGCGGGUCUCUGGGCCGAUACUGACGCUGAGGAGCGAAAGCGUGGGGAGCGAACAGG
RNAcentral lists this ribosomal RNA (253 nucleotides) under uncultured bacterium. RNAcentral describes it as "partial 16S ribosomal RNA". It matches the Rfam family "Bacterial small subunit ribosomal RNA", at positions 524 to 776 of the family's 1533-position model. The record is from RNAcentral.